Schistosoma mansoni is the source of this 45-nucleotide non-coding RNA. NCBI's taxonomy places the organism in Eukaryota, Metazoa, Platyhelminthes, Trematoda, Strigeidida, Schistosomatidae. The record is from Rfam.
AUCUAGCUGACGAGUCCAAAAAAGAACGAAAAGCAGAUCCUGGAU